This is a long non-coding RNA of Penaeus indicus, 4587 nucleotides long. RefSeq lists it as uncharacterized. The record is from RefSeq and is a predicted model, not a curated record. NCBI's taxonomy places the organism in Eukaryota, Metazoa, Arthropoda, Malacostraca, Decapoda, Penaeidae. The transcript has 3 exons.
UAACAUUUUUUCCUUUGCAGAUCCAUACCAGCUGAGGAAUGUGGCAUUUACUUUAUCUAAUACUCGCUUAGCUGAGUUGCAUCAUCGCCUCGAGAAACUUCGCACAUGUUCUGGAGCAGAUAGCUGUGAUGAUUUUCCAAGUUCACGUGGAAGCGAUAACAGCUUUGAAGAUCCCCAAAUACUUGAGCAAAGUGAUGACCAUUCUCUUAUGAACAAUGUUGUGGGUCCAGUAAGAAAACUAUCAAAAGCAGAACGCUUACAAGAGCGAAUGGAGAGACGCAGGCAACGAAAAUUACAGAAAAAAUUAAGACGCAAAUAUUCAGGAAACCAGUUAUAUGGAGCUAGGAGUAGACAUGUCCUGGAUUCCAUGGGAUCAAGGAAACACAAAGUACGUUUGCCAAGAAAGAGUCGUCUGGGAAAGGAACAAAGAAGGCAGAAAAGAAGAGAGCGAAGGAGAAAGAAGAAAUCAAGAAAAGAAAGACUUUUAUCUAGUGGAUAGUGUCUAAGAAUAUUUCUAUUAAUUUUAUCCAAUAUUAACAUGAUUCAUCACAUAAGGUGAUGGUUUAUUUUAAGUAAAGUAGACUAGUUUAGUAUUUUAUAUUUGUUAUGUAGCUGCAACAUAGACGGUAAGAAAUGACUGCUACAUAUUAUCACUAAAUAGGAUUAUUACACAUUAGAAAGAAAUAGACAGCACUAGAAUUUUGUCUGUGUCUAUUACAGCUAGAUAAUGAAUUAUCAUAUAUCAAGAAAACAUAGAAUAUCUGACUCAAGAAAUACGGAACUGAAAAAUGGAAGUAAAUGCAGAAUUUAGGACAUCUCUUGUUGCAAAGAUAUUAAAUGAUAUUGAUUCAGAGGAAUUAGAAAAGUACUUAGGAUUUCUGUGCAUUGAAAAGGCUACCAUGUUUGGCAUCAUACUAUUUGGAGGAAGCCAGGCACAGGAGGUAGCACUGUAGUAGUAUUCAUUAUACUCGUUAGAUGUGUUCAUGUAUUAUAAGUAUAUAGUCAUAGAGGCUUUUAAGUAUAGGAUUACCAUUAUUUAUAUGUGAAUAUUAUUUUUAUGGACUCAGAAGGCUUUUAAUUAGCUGAAUAAUUUAAACAUUCUUUAUUUUCCAUCAUUCUCAGAACUUGAUAAGACAAUACUUUUACCUUAAGUACUCAUAGUUCACAUUACCCACCUGUGCUUUCAUGCCCCAAGCUAAUCCCUGAGAAGUAAAGGGUUUUAAUGCCUAAAGCUGCUUGUAGGCCAGUAGAAAGUUAUGAUAAGAGAUAUAUAAAAUCAAAAGUUGUAGAAUAUUGCAAGUAUAAUGACAUGAAAAAAUAUUGAUUUAAAUUGUUAAGUUUAGUAUUUACACUGCACUUUAAAGAAAUUAAAAUGUGUAACAACUUCAUUUUGAUAAUGAAAAGAUUGGAUUAGUUAUACUGGAACUUAAAAUAUCCACAAAAAAUCACAGUAUGAUCAAAUCAUUCCAUGUUCCUUGUUUCUUAUAUAUAUUUUUUUUAAAUCUUAGUAUGAUUGAAUUAUUCCAUGUUCCUUUUUUUGAUACACAGUACAUUAGCAGAUAUUAGGUAAUACAGGUACACAGAAUCAAAGAUACAAACACAGCCUAGGUUAUUAGCAUGACUUUUGUAAUCAUUGUCAUUAGUCUCAUUAUUAUUGUUAUUAUUUUUAUGAUAAGUGUGGUUAUUGUUAGUUUUGUUAUAUUACUAUUGUUAGUAUUAAUGUAUUACCCUUAUUAUCUUUUUUGUUAUUAUGAUUCCUCCUUUCAUCAGAGAAUUAAUAUAGAUCAUCAUUUUCUACUGGCACACAGAUCAGCUGUUCAGUAAUAAUCCUGGUGCUUUUAGCCAUCUGGCACUUUGCAAGUUAUUGUAAAGCUUAUAAUUUUUUUCCAAUACUUUAAGUGAAAUGAUUAUAUAUCCCAUUCAUGUACCCCAUCAAACAAAAUUAAAUUAUAAUAAGCUAUUUUUAGCCUUUUGUAUUUAGUAGUUUUUGUUACCAUUCUGUGAUAAACCAUUAAAAUCUCUUCACAUCUUAAUAUUUAUUUGUUUAAUCAUUAUAUGGUUGAAAAUGUAAAGCCUAGUAUACAAGUCCAAUGCUAGAAGUAAAAAAAUGAUUAGUGAAGUAUAUAAUUUUUCAAGCAAAAGUAUAUGAUAGGUCAUAUGUUUUGCUAUUGUUGCGUAAUACUUAUGAACAUGAAUUUUAUGACAAAAUUGUGUUCUUUCUCCUAAUCACCAACUGCCAAGUUCUUUUUACCCUGACAUAGUUACAUGUGUAGUGCUUUGCUUUUACAAUAUAUGAAACUUGUCUCUUGAAAUAUGAUUCAAAUUUGACUGAGUUUUACUCAAGAAAGUAUCUGGAUUUCCUGAGAAGAAUGUUACUUUGCCAAUGGAAAAUCAAGUAUUAUAAUUAAUGUUGUAACUGCUGUCUUAACUAAUGUUGUUCCCAGGUCUGAAAAUAUAAACUAUUUACACUCUUUGGUAACUUUUGUGUAUGAUAUUAAUAUGAGUAUUAAAACUCAUAAAUUGUCAGAUCUUUCAAAAGAAAUUUGGUUGCUCCUCUUUGUCAGACCUAAGGAUCAAUCACAUAGUACAAUUAGCAAAGUUUUAAGAACGUUCUGUAUAUUAGGUAAGAGAAUGUAAGACUGAAAUUUGAAACUGCUUUAAUUGACUCAAAUAUACUUACAGAAUUAUAUUUGUAAAUUACCAUUAUAAGUUUGCUGUUUUUUAUCUCUGUUAUAGAAACUCCCUGGUCAGGUGGUAUUCUGAGGAAGUAUCACAUUAUGCUGAAAUGUGAUGAUUUUAGAUCCCUGCUCCUGUAAUUGUUCUUACUGGAUUACACUAGAUGUCAAAUAUAAAGAAUUAACAACACUGUUGGUAUCCUUCACUGUAAGAAACUUGGUUGACCUUGCUUUCAUGAAAUUAAAACAAUGAUUUUAGAAAUAUCGUCUACUCAAAAGUAAAUCGUCUGUUAAUCACAUUCAUAAUCAAGACAGCUAAUAUCUAGAUAUACAUAAUAUUUGGAACUGUUAUAGUCUAAUUUGUCAAAUUAUUCCUAAAUGAUAUAGUGAUAGGUAACCCAUUCGCGCCGGAUGUCACAUAUAUGUGAUAUGCCCACUGUGAGUUUGCUUGUUUAAUUGUUUUUACACAUAGAUGGCUACACUUGUUGGGAGUACUGCCUGUCUUGUGUUUACCCGUUUCUUUAAUUUAUGAAAAUAUUUUACGAUAUCUUACUUUGCUGUUACUAAUGUUUUUAACAUUAUAGUAAUUAUGUUUAUAAUAAAAAUAACCAUCGAUAUUCAUAGCACUAGUAAAAAAUACAUUUUCCCACCAAAUGAAAUCAGGUAAGGCAGAGCCAUCUAUGUGUAGAGAUAUUUCACAAAAAGUAUAAAAAAUGAACACAGCAUUUUCCCCAUUUUUUGUUCAUUUUUACCCAUUAUGAAUGAGUUAAUGAUGAUAUUGUAUUUUUAUGCUUGGUUAAGGAAUAUUAAGGUAAUAAGGUCUUAUGAGUUUAUUAGCACCAUUAAUUGCCAGUAACAUAGAUGAAUGUAAAAAAAAAUCCUAUAUUCUUAAAUUUCAGCAGCAUGAUACCUCUAAAUGAACUGAGUGUGCACUUUGCUUGCAUGGAUGCAGGUAAUUACUAUGGGUAUAUCAGUAGCUUGCACUGUGACAUAUCAGGAGUAUUAAAUUGUGCUGUUUAGAACAGUAAUAUAUCCUGGUAGCAGAGAAAGUAGUAUACAAACUGCAACUAAAGUAUUAAAUGCUGAUUUGUGAUUGUCAAACUGGGCCUAUUUCUGAACAAAAAGUAUUUGAGUAGUAUUUUCUUUCUUUUCUUUUUCUUUUUCUUUGAGACUGCACAGACAGACAGAGACCUAAAGAGAGAAAGAAAGAGAGAAAGAGAAAAUAAUUCCAAACGCUGCCAUCAUAGUUCACCCAAGAUGGCAAACAUCCUUGAACAUUGUCUCCAGCUUCUCAUUUAUCUUGGUUAUCAUGGUUCAGAGGGGUGACAACAAAGAAAUGGAAAAACAGUUCACAUAACAGCUAAGUGAUUUUUAAAAUAUAUUCAGUAGUUAUAAGUAUUACACUUGUAAUUUUCAAUUGCUGUGCCAUUUGUGUAAUAUAAUUUGUCAAAAGCAGGUUGUUUCGUUAUUGUUGGUGCUUGUCAGAGGCUUGUCUUCAUAGUUCACUAAUAGAAUAAUAAUGUUACAAUAUGCAGUGAAGUAUUCUGGUUUGCAUAAACAAAUAUAUAUUAGUCUAUAACUGAUUUGUAAAUAAGUUAUGUAUAUAUCUGUAAUACAAAAUGCAAUUUCUAAGUAUUUGUCAACAUUAAAAAUUCCAAUUAAGUAGAGAAAGUUCUUUGGUCUUUUCUUACUUUGGUUUAAUUUUGUUUUAGUAAUCAUUAAUCUUGCAUUUAUCAUUUACUGACAUAAGUCUUUGGCAAUGUAAUUCCUAGGGAAAUGUUUUCACCUGUGAGAGUUUAGAGGUUUGCCUUGAAUGCAUGACAAAUACCUCCUCAAGGAUUGUACAAUAUUAGGUUACUGUAAACAUACUCGUUAAUGAUGUACCUUUUUGAAAUAAAAUUCAUGUAAUGAU